Molecule: transfer-messenger RNA, 377 nt
Filed under: Limosilactobacillus equigenerosi
Lineage: Bacteria; Bacillati; Bacillota; Bacilli; Lactobacillales; Lactobacillaceae
Also listed under: 1 other name
Description: Standard tmRNA
Rfam family: transfer-messenger RNA
About the family: Bacterial tmRNA, also known as 10Sa RNA or SsrA, is named for its dual tRNA and mRNA-like properties. Its role is to liberate the mRNA from a stalled ribosome.
Source: RNAcentral
GGGGAUGUUUUUGGAUUCGACGGGUAUAGUUCGAGUUCUAACUGCGUUUCGAAGGUUGCGUCUUCGUAAAAACGCUCAGUUUUAAAUUAUAACUGCAAACAAUAAUUCAAACUCUUACGCAUUAGCUGCCUAAACACCAGCAGGCGUAAAUCCAAGCUGGGCUCGGUCAUGGUGCGGUUUUGGGUUUCAUUUAAUUAGUGACCUACGCUUAACUAUGCAGUUGGAAUAGUUAAGAAGAGUUUUUUGCCAACUAGUUAGUCAUGCUAGCCUUGAUUAGCGGCGCUUUGGCUAACGAACUUUAAAUUGUUAAUCUAUGAACGUAGACGUUAGAAUGGCGAUAUAUUCGGACAGGGGUUCGAUUCCCCUCAUCUCCAUCC